Molecule: long non-coding RNA, 408 nt
Organism: Thunnus maccoyii (southern bluefin tuna)
Lineage: Eukaryota; Metazoa; Chordata; Actinopteri; Scombriformes; Scombridae
Exons: 3
Source: RefSeq, a predicted model, not a curated record
CAGAAGCAGUGGAGUAAACAUUACUGCAGUCACUGCUCCUCCAAACACAGGAAGCUUCAGUUCAACAGGACAAGAUGAGACCAGCAUCACUCUGCAGUGGAAUAAAGUGAACAACAAUGUCAGCUUUAUUCUCCAGUUUAAUGGUACAGAGAUAAACAUCACUGCACCAGACGGAGAUGGAGCAGUAACUCACACAGUCUCAUCUCUCACUGCUGGAACUAAAUACACAUUCACUCUCUUCUCUGUGUUUGAGAACAUCAGAAGCAGUGGAGUAAACAUCACUGCAGUCACUGCUCCUCCAAACACAAACAGUUUGAUAUCAACAGGACAAAAUGAGACCAGCAUCACCCUGCAGUGGAAUAAAGUGAACAACAAUGUCAGCUUUAUUCUCCAGUUUAAUGGUACAGA